UUGACGAACGCUGGCGGCGUGCUUAACACAUGCAAGUCGAACGGAAAGGCCCUGCUUUUGUGGGGUGCUCGAGUGGCGAACGGGUGAGUAACACGUGAGUAACCUGCCCUUGACUUUGGGAUAACUUCAGGAAACUGGGGCUAAUACCGGAUAGGAGCUCCUGCUGCAUGGUGGGGGUUGGAAAGUUUCGGCGGUUGGGGAUGGACUCGCGGCUUAUCUGCUUGUUGGUGGGGUAGUGGCUUACCAAGGCUUUGACGGGUAGCCGGCCUGAGAGGGUGACCGGCCACAUUGGGACUGAGAUACGGCCCAGACUCCUACGGGAGGCAGCAGUGGGGAAUAUUGCACAAUGGGCGGAAGCCUGAUGCAGCAACGCCGCGUGCGGGAUGACGGCCUUCGGGUUGUAAACCGCUUUCGCCUGUGACGAAGCGUGAGUGACGGUAAUGGGUAAAGAAGCACCGGCUAACUACGUGCCAGCAGCCGCGGUGAUACGUAGGGUGCGAGCGUUGUCCGGAUUUAUUGGGCGUAAAGGGCUCGUAGGUGGUUGAUCGCGUCGGAAGUGUAAUCUUGGGGCUUAACCCUGAGCGUGCUUUCGAUACGGGUUGACUUGAGGAAGGUAGGGGAGAAUGGAAUUCCUGGUGGAGCGGUGGAAUGCGCAGAUAUCAGGAGGAACACCAGUGGCGAAGGCGGUUCUCUGGGCCUUCCCUGACGCUGAGGAGCGAAAGCGUGGGGAGCGAACAGGCUUAGAUACCCUGGUAGUCCACGCUGUAAACGGUGGGUACUAGGUGUGGGGUCCAUUCCACGGGUUCCGUGCCGUAGCUAACGCUUUAAGUACCCCGCCUGGGGAGUACGGCCGCAAGGCUAAAACUCAAAGGAAUUGACGGGGCCCCGCACAAGCGGCGGAGCAUGCGGAUUAAUUCGAUGCAACGCGUAGAACCUUACCUGGGUUUGACAUGGAUCGGGAGUGCUCAGAGAUGGGUGUGCCUCUUUUGGGGUCGGUUCACAGGUGGUGCAUGGCUGUCGUCAGCUCGUGUCGUGAGAUGUUGGGUUAAGUCCCGCAACGAGCGCAACCCUUGUUCACUGUUGCCAGCACGUUAUGGUGGGGACUCAGUGGAGACCGCCGGGGUCAACUCGGAGGAAGGUGGGGAUGACGUCAAGUCAUCAUGCCCCUUAUGUCCAGGGCUUCACGCAUGCUACAAUGGCUGGUACAGAGAGUGGCGAGCCUGUGAGGGUGAGCGAAUCUCGGAAAGCCGGUCUCAGUUCGGAUUGGGGUCUGCAACUCGACCUCAUGAAGUCGGAGUCGCUAGUAAUCGCAGAUCAGCAACGCUGCGGUGAAUACGUUCCCGGGGCUUGUACACACCGCCCGUCAAGUCAUGAAAGUUGGUAACACCCGAAGCCGGUGGCCUAACCGUUGUGGGGGAGCCGUCGAAGGUGGGACUG
RNAcentral lists this ribosomal RNA (1437 nucleotides) under uncultured organism. Its description in RNAcentral is "partial small subunit ribosomal RNA". It matches the Rfam family "Bacterial small subunit ribosomal RNA". The record is from RNAcentral.